CAGUGAGGAAUAUUGCGCAAUGGGGGCAACCCUGACGCAGCGACGCCGCGUGGGUGAGGAAGGCUUUCGGGUCGUAAAACCCUGUCAGGAGGGAAGAAGUGCUUAUAAGCUAAUACCUUGUAAGUUUGACGGUACCUUCAAAGGAAGCACCGGCUAACUCCGUGCCAGCAGCCGCGGUAAUACGGAGGGUGCAAGCGUUGUUCGGAAUCACUGGGCGUAAAGGGCGCGUAGGCGGCUUGGCAAGUCAGAUGUGAAAGCCCACGGCUUAACCGUGGAAGUGCAUUUGAAACUGCUUGGCUUGAGUAUCAGAGGGGAAAGUGGAAUUCCCGGUGUAGAGGUGAAAUUCGUAGAUAUCGGGAGGAAUACCGGUGGCGAAGGCGACUUUCUGGCUGAAUACUGACGCUGAGGCGCGAAAGCGUGGGGAGCAGACAGGAUUAGAUACCCUGGUAGUCCACGCCGUAAACGAUGUCAACUAGGUGCAGGGGGUGUUGAUCCCCUCUGUGUCGCAGCUAACGCAUUAAGUUGACCGCCUGGGGAGUACGGUCGCAAGAUUAAAACUCAAAGGAAUUGACGG
This 574-nucleotide ribosomal RNA is filed under the name uncultured bacterium. RNAcentral's name for it is "bacterial SSU rRNA". It matches the Rfam family "Bacterial small subunit ribosomal RNA", at positions 352 to 916 of the family's 1533-position model. The record is from RNAcentral.